Molecule: ribosomal RNA, 450 nt
Filed under: uncultured bacterium
Lineage: Bacteria
Description: bacterial SSU rRNA
Rfam family: Bacterial small subunit ribosomal RNA
Source: RNAcentral
GAUGAACGCUGGCGGCAGGCUUAACACAUGCAAGUCGAACGCUCCGCAAGGAGAGUGGCAGACGGGUGAGUAACGCGUGGGAAUCUACCCAUCUCUACGGAACAACUCCGGGAAACUGGAGCUAAUACCGUAUACGUCCUUCGGGAGAAAGAUUUAUCGGGGAUGGAUGAGCCCGCGUUGGAUUAGCUAGUUGGUGGGGUAAAGGCCUACCAAGGCGACGAUCCAUAGCUGGUCUGAGAGGAUGAUCAGCCUCACUGGGACUGAGACACGGCCCAGACUCCUACGGGAGGCAGCAGUGGGGAAUAUUGGACAAUGGGCGCAAGCCUGAUCCAGCCAUGCCGCGUGGAUGAUGAAGGCCCUAGGGUUGUAAAGUCCUUUCGGCGGGGAAGAUAAUGACGGUACCCGCAGAAGAAGCCCCGGCUAACUUCGUGCCAGCCGCCGCCGUAACAC